Sinocyclocheilus grahami is the source of this 263-nucleotide long non-coding RNA. RefSeq lists it as uncharacterized. Lineage: Eukaryota; Metazoa; Chordata; Actinopteri; Cypriniformes; Cyprinidae. The transcript is spliced from 3 exons. The record is from RefSeq and is a predicted model, not a curated record.
ACUUGCAGUUGCAUUAUGGGAACUGUAGUGACAUUCUGCAUGUCCUUUUCCACGCAUGUUUAUGGGGUGGUGGUUUAGUGUGAAACUGCUGAUUCUCUAGGGAUUCUGGAUGGCAGACGUGUGAUUCAGUGUGAUGAUGUGAUCAGAGAAACAUGGGCUCCCUGCUGUCUGCGUGUAGAAUUAACGUAAAGAAAAAGAAAGUAGAAGAGGAGAGGCAUUUGCGAGCUAAUGACAGGGAAUUCAACCUGUCGUUUAAGUAUGCU